RNAcentral lists this long non-coding RNA (463 nucleotides) under Phoenix dactylifera (date palm). RNAcentral's name for it is "long non-coding RNA (PDAC_LNC015399)". Lineage: Eukaryota; Viridiplantae; Streptophyta; Magnoliopsida; Arecales; Arecaceae. The record is from RNAcentral.
UUUGUUAUAAUGUUAAUGGGACAAUGUAAUUUGUAUUUUGUCUAAGUUUGCAGUUUUUAUUAUUGGGUUGUAAUUUUCAGCUGGACAACAGUGUUUCAUACAUUUUAUUUUCUUUCUAUUGGCUUGAAGCUGCAAAUUUUUUCUUUUUUAAUGUUUGUAGAUAUAUCAAAAUUUCAAAGUUUGAAACCACCACCAACACUAUCUAUUUAAAAUAGGCUAGUUAUAUCCUUAACAUUAACCAAUUAACCAAUUUAGAGAGCCCAUUAAGCUGUUGGGCCAUUUUUGCCCAUUUCUAGAUUCCAAACAAAAAAAAAAAUCGGGCCUGUCAGGUCGGGCCUGUCGGGUCGGGCCUGUCGGGUCGGGGCCUGUCGGGUCGGGGCGGUCGGGUCGGGCCUGUCGGGUCGGGCCUGGGACCAGAUUUAUAAGGUUGGGUCGGGCCUGGACAAAAAUUUAAGCCCGACAG